GGUAGUAACAAUUAUUUAAAUUAUAACUUUGAAGGCCAAAGAGGGGAAAGGUUCCAUGUGAGCGAUACUUGCACUUGGGUUAGUCAAUCCUAAGAGACGAGAGAAGCUCGUCUGAUAGCCCAUUACACAUGAACUUCAAGAGGGAAUAGGGUUAAAAUUCCUCAAGUGGCACAUGGUGGCUAACGGCAACGUUAGGAACUCUGAAGACACCGGUGAAGGCCUCGAGCAGAGUUAUUUUUUACUGUUUAACAACCUGCCCAACCAGGAAACGGCUCAGCAAGACGUAGGGUCCAGUGGCUGCAACAGCACCCCAGGUUGCGUGGUGUCCAGUGAACCCUCGACUGCCCAUGAAAAUCCAAUGGACCGAGUGCCUCUCACUGCCGGUUGUACUCAUAACCACAUCAGGUCUCCAAGGUGAACAACCUCUAGUC
RNAcentral lists this non-coding RNA (431 nucleotides) under Cephalotus follicularis. Its description in RNAcentral is "Eukaryotic large subunit ribosomal RNA". It matches the Rfam family "Eukaryotic large subunit ribosomal RNA", at positions 1456 to 1888 of the family's 3401-position model. Lineage: Eukaryota; Viridiplantae; Streptophyta; Magnoliopsida; Oxalidales; Cephalotaceae. The record is from Rfam by way of RNAcentral.